This 322-nucleotide unclassified non-coding RNA is filed under the name Hevea brasiliensis (rubber tree). Lineage: Eukaryota; Viridiplantae; Streptophyta; Magnoliopsida; Malpighiales; Euphorbiaceae. The record is from RNAcentral.
AAGAACUCUCCUCCGAUCUCUUUCGGGUUAGCAGGAGCCUGGAAGGGGCUUUGCCGAUCUCCCGAAUUUCAAUUUUAGCUACAUGUCACAAGAACCUAAAACUAAGGUUUCUGGCAUUCAAAACGCUGGAGAUAAGGUUUCUUGAUACCCUAUGACUAAAUGGGUAAUACUAAACUUGAUUUACCGACCUUCCAUGUAGUCAUUUCACGCAUACCUAUUAAUGUCCGAUCUGUUCUGUCUAGUUUAUUUUGGUUUUAUUCCUCUUCAUGGUAUCUUGCCGAAUUCCCGUUCACGUCAGCCUAAUAGUUUGGCUAUUUUCCUG